Long non-coding RNA from Coffea arabica (coffee), 276 nucleotides. RefSeq lists it as uncharacterized. NCBI's taxonomy places the organism in Eukaryota, Viridiplantae, Streptophyta, Magnoliopsida, Gentianales, Rubiaceae. The record is from RefSeq and is a predicted model, not a curated record.
UUAGUUGCUAAACUUACUAACCUUCAUGUUUAGGAAUCUUCUCUGUUUUGUGUUGAGCCAGCAGCAAACUUUUAGGUUGCUAUCUUUGUACUGUCAAGUGGAUAUUUGUACUGUCACUGGCACUCCUUCAAGCUGCUUACUACAGGCGUUUGAAAUGGUUGGUUUUGAAGUCACGUAAGCUGGUCCUCGAUGUUGUCAACUAAACUUGGUUUAUUCUUCUCCUUGAUGUUUAUCAGAGGAUUGAAAUCAGGGAAUAAUAUUUGUUUCUUGCUACAA